RNAcentral lists this ribosomal RNA (498 nucleotides) under uncultured bacterium. RNAcentral describes it as "partial 16S ribosomal RNA". It matches the Rfam family "Bacterial small subunit ribosomal RNA", at positions 28 to 507 of the family's 1533-position model. The record is from RNAcentral.
GACGAACGCUGGCGGCGUGCCUAAUACAUGCAAGUCGAGCGGACGGAUGGGAGCUUGCUCCCAGACCGUCAGCGGCGGACGGGUGAGUAACACGUGGGCAACCUGCCUGUAAGACUGGGAUAACUCCGGGAAACCGGGGCUAAUACCGGAUAACUCUUUCCCUCACAUGAGGGAAAGCUGAAAGAUGGCAUCUCGCUAUCACUUACAGAUGGGCCCGCGGCGCAUUAGCUAGGUGGUGAGGUAACGGCUCACCAAGGCGACGAUGCGGAGCCGACCUGAGAGGGUGAUCGGCCACACUGGGACUGAGACACGGCCCAGACUCCUACGGGAGGCAGCAGUAGGGAAUCUUCCGCAAUGGACGAAAGUCUGACGGAGCAACGCCGCGUGAGUGAUGAAGGUUUUCGGAUCGUAAAACUCUGUUGUCAGGGAAGAACAAGUACCGGAGUAACUGCCGGUACCUUGACGGUACCUGACCAGAAAGCCACGGCUAACUACGUG